UGAAUGCUGGAACUCUCUGCACAACAAACGCUCUUUGCUUUUACAUACUAUCUGAGUCUGGGGUCUUCCUUCAGCUAUUUAUGGAAUCUAACAUUUGGGGGCUUGUAUGGGAUCGCUGAGGCUGAGUAGUUGAGUAGAACAGUUGAGUGUUUUGAGGGGACUCUUUCUCUCCCCAGCUGAUUGGAUUCCUGCCAGGUCUCAGCGAAUUCAGGCUUGGUCGUCACCCAGAUUCAGUGAUGCUAACUCACCAGCCCACUUGGGAUGAUUGCCAGCAGCUGUUGAAGGUCCUCUUCACCACCGAAGAGAGGGACUGUGUUUUGAAUGCAGCCUGGAAAUUAGUUCCGGGUGCCAAUGGAUUGUCACUCAGGUCCAGGCUGAAACUGAUGCAGCUUUUCCACUCCCCCGGCCUGACUGGGACUACAACUCUAAUGCAGGAGUAAACCAGUUUGCAUCUGCUCGCCCUCGGACUGCACUCACCUGACUCUGGCUAUCUGUGCAGUGACUCCGGUGCCUCUCACUCCCUCGGCUUGGACCCCGCCAUCACCCACAGGCUGGAGCCUUGGGAGGAGGACCAACAUCUGGCACCCAACAUGGCCUUGGCCCUCUUGGUGUUGGCAAAAUGCCCCGUUUCUCCCUCACUCAGGAGGUAUUCCAGUGUUGCUGCAGGCAGUGACAGGUGGUGCUGAAACCUGGGAUCCUGAGAACGAGGAGACACUGAGGCCAGUGAAAAUGGACCACAGGAGCAUGCACAAAUCAACUGACUAAGCCCCUUGUGCAGGCGGUUACUAUUGGUGGUCGUGGGUGACUACAGAGCUGCCACCCAUGCAGAAAA
Molecule: long non-coding RNA, 832 nt
Organism: Psammomys obesus (fat sand rat)
Lineage: Eukaryota; Metazoa; Chordata; Mammalia; Rodentia; Muridae
Exons: 6
Source: RefSeq, a predicted model, not a curated record